GACGAACGCUGGCGGCGUGCUUAACACAUGCAAGUCGAGCGGUAAGGCCCUUUCGGGGGUACACGAGCGGCGAACGGGUGAGUAACACGUGGGUGACCUGCCCUCAGCUCUGGGAUAAGCCUGGGAAACCGGGUCUAAUACCGGAUAUGACUCCAUGACGCAUGUUGUGGGGUGGAAAGCCUUGUGCGGCUGAGGAUGGGCCCGCGGCCUAUCAGCUUGUUGGUGGGGUGAUGGCCUACCAAGGCGACGACGGGUAGCCGGCCUGAGAGGGCGACCGGCCACACUGGGACUGAGACACGGCCCAGACUCCUACGGGAGGCAGCAGUGGGGAAUCUUGCGCAAUGGGCGAAAGCCUGACGCAGCGACGCCGCGUGGGA
RNAcentral lists this ribosomal RNA (377 nucleotides) under uncultured bacterium. Its description in RNAcentral is "bacterial SSU rRNA". It matches the Rfam family "Bacterial small subunit ribosomal RNA", at positions 28 to 406 of the family's 1533-position model. The record is from RNAcentral.